Molecule: ribosomal RNA, 199 nt
Filed under: uncultured bacterium
Lineage: Bacteria
Description: partial 16S ribosomal RNA
Rfam family: Bacterial small subunit ribosomal RNA
Source: RNAcentral
ACGCUCGACACCUACGGGGGGCAGCAGUCGGGAAUAUUGCGCAAUGGAGGAAACUCUGACGCAGUGACGCCGCGUAUAGGAAGAAGGUUUUCGGAUUGUAAACUAUUGUCGUUAGGGAAGAAAAAGGACAGUACCUAAGGAGGAAGCUCCGGCUAACUACGUGCCAACNGCCGCGGUAAUCUGAGCGGGCUGGCAAGGC